RNAcentral lists this ribosomal RNA (467 nucleotides) under uncultured bacterium. Its description in RNAcentral is "partial 16S ribosomal RNA". It matches the Rfam family "Bacterial small subunit ribosomal RNA", at positions 28 to 506 of the family's 1533-position model. The record is from RNAcentral.
GACGAACGCUGGCGGCGUGCUUAACACAUGCAAGUCGAACGGAAAGGCCCUGCUUUUGUGGGGUGCUCGAGUGGCGAACGGGUGAGUAACAAGUGAGUAACCUGCCCUUGACUUUGGGAUAACUUCAGGAAACUGGGGCUAAUACCGGAUAGGAGCUCCUGCUGCAUGGUGGGGGUUGGAAAGUUUCGGCGGUUGGGGAUGGACUCGCGGCUUAUCAGCUUGUUGGUGGGGUAGUGGCUUACCAAGGCUUUGACGGGUAGCCGGCCUGAGAGGGUAACCGGCCACAUGGGGACUGAGAUGAGGCCGUGACUCUUACGGGAGACAGCAGGGAGGAAUAUUGAACAAGGGGCAGAAGCCUGAUGCAGCAACGCCGCGUGCGGGAUGACGGCCUUCGGGUUGUAAGCCGCUUUAGCCUGUGACGAAGCGUGAGGGACGGUAAUAGGUAAAGAAGCAGCGGCUAACUACGU